RNAcentral lists this unclassified non-coding RNA (1164 nucleotides) under Hevea brasiliensis (rubber tree). The record is from RNAcentral. Lineage: Eukaryota; Viridiplantae; Streptophyta; Magnoliopsida; Malpighiales; Euphorbiaceae.
GGGAGCCGCUGGGCGUGUGUGCUGGGAUAUGUCCAUUCAACUUCCCGGCCAUGAUUCCGUUGUGGAUGUUCCCUGUGGCUGUUACAUGUGGCAACACAUUUAUUUUAAAGCCAUCCGAGAAAGAUCCAGGAGCUUCUAUGCUGCUUGCGGAGCUGGCAAUGGAAGCCGGUUUACCUGAUGGAGUACUGAAUAUUGUUCAUGGUACCAAUGACACUGUGAAUAAUAUAUGUGAUGAUGAAGAUAUCAAGGCUGUUUCAUUUGUUGGUUCGAACACAGCUGGGAUGCACAUAUAUGCUAGAGCUGCAGCUAAGGGUAAACGUGUGCAGUCAAACAUGGGAGCAAAGAACCAUGCAAUUAUCAUGCCCGAUGCAAAUGCAGAUGCUACUUUAAAUGCUCUAUCUGCUGCUGGUUUUGGUGCUGCUGGUCAAAGAUGCAUGGCUCUGAGCACAGCUGUUUUUGUUGGGGACUCAAAGCAUUGGGAGGAUGAGCUUGUCAAACGUGCCACAUCACUGAAAGUAAAUGCAGGAGUUGAAGCUGGGACGGACCUAGGUCCUGUAAUCAGUAGACAGGCAAAGGAACGUAUUUGCAGACUAAUCCAAAGUGGGAUCAAUGAUGGUGCUAGGGCAGUUCUUGAUGGGAGAAACAUUGAGGUUCCUGGAUACGAAGAUGGCAACUUUGUUGGACCGACAAUUUUGGGCGAUGUUACAAGUGAGAUGGAGUGUUACAAGGAAGAAAUCUUUGGCCCAGUUCUUCUCUGCAUGCGGGCUGAUAGUCUAGACGAAGCUAUUCACAUUGUUAACAGUAACAAGUAUGGUAAUGGGGCAUCCAUAUUUACGACCUCGGGUGUUGCUGCAAGAAAAUUUCAGACUGAGAUCGAAGCAGGCCAGGUUGGCAUUAACGUACCAAUUCCAGUUCCAUUGCCAUUCUUUUCCUUCACUGGCAACAAGGCUUCAUUUGCAGGUGACCUCAAUUUCUACGGCAAGGCUGGAGUGCAGUUCUUCACUCAGAUCAAGACAGUCACCCAGCAGUGGAAGGACCUACCAGCUCAGGGUGUUUCGCUUGCAAUGCCCACAUCGCAGAAAGCAUGAAUCAUGUUUCCUACCCGGUGUUUAUAAUUUCGUAGAGGUGUAGAUACCAAAUAAGAGCAUGUGUGGAAGAUGGAAC